Molecule: ribosomal RNA, 253 nt
Filed under: uncultured bacterium
Lineage: Bacteria
Description: partial 16S ribosomal RNA
Rfam family: Bacterial small subunit ribosomal RNA
Source: RNAcentral
UACGGGGGGGGCAAGCGUUGUUCGGAAUUACUGGGCGUAAAGGGCGCGUAGGUGGUUGGAUAAGUCAGCUGUGAAAACCACGGGCUUAACUCGUGGCCUGCAGUUGAGACUGUCUGGCUUGAGUGUGGGAGAGGAGAGUGGAAUUCCUGGUGUAGCGGUGAAAUGCGUAGAUAUCAGGAAGAACAUCGGUGGCGAAGGCGGCCUGCUGGGCUGUUGCUGACGCUGAGGCGCGACAGCGUGGGGAGCAAACAGG